CUAAUGAUAACAGGAACAGAGGUGUCAGAUGGCUGGAUUUAUGGAGGCCUUGGGCUUCUGCUUAUCAAACAAUGCAGCACCAGUACAAGCAAAGUUUUAUAGUCCAGAGAAACAAUGAGGCCCAUUAGAUUAACAAGAGGCAGCAGGAAAGGAAUGACUCUCCAGACUGAAAAGAGAACAGAUAUUGAAUGAAGACAGCACAGGCCAGUAGUAAUAUCACUGAUCUGGGAAGAUGAGUCAGCUACACCAGUGGCAGCAGCAUGGCCCAGGAAAAGGGAAAAAGAUAAGUGUGCAGUUUCU
Podarcis muralis (Common wall lizard) is the source of this 300-nucleotide non-coding RNA. The record is from RefSeq and is a predicted model, not a curated record. NCBI's taxonomy places the organism in Eukaryota, Metazoa, Chordata, Lepidosauria, Squamata, Lacertidae.